Grus americana (Whooping crane) is the source of this 3338-nucleotide RNA transcript. It is a transcript of the gene named thioredoxin like 1, with no coding region annotated. Lineage: Eukaryota; Metazoa; Chordata; Aves; Gruiformes; Gruidae. The transcript is spliced from 10 exons. The record is from RefSeq and is a predicted model, not a curated record.
GCCCUCAAGAUGUCCGCCCGGCGGGCCCGGUGUGGGAGCGGCGUGGCGGGCGCGCCUGCGCCUUGAACCGAGCGGUGCAUGCCGGGCUCCCCCUUCCCGCCGUGACGCUGCAGAUAACGAGGCCGGUACCGUCGUCGUUUACCGUUCCUCAGCCGCCGGCUCCCGGCGAGAGGAUGGUGGGCGUGAAGGUGAUAGCGAACGACACCGAGUUCCAGCCUGAACUCAGCGCUGCCGGUUCCCGACUGGCUGUGGUGAAGUUCACCAUGCGGGGAUGUGGCCCUUGUUUAAGGAUAGCUCCAGCUUUCAAUGCUCUGAGUAACAAAUAUCCCCAGGCAACUUUUUUGGAAGUAGAUGUACAUCAAUGCCAGGGAACAGCUGCUACCAAUAAUAUAUCAGCAACACCAACAUUUCUGUUUUUCCGAAACAAAGUGCGAAUCGACCAAUAUCAAGGAGCAGAUGCUGUAGGUUUAGAAGAAAAAAUUAAACAACACCUGGAGAAUGAUCCUGGAAACAGUGAAGAUACAGAUAUCCCGAAAGGAUAUAUGGAUUUAAUGCCAUUUAUCAAUAAAGCCGGCUGUGAAUGUCUUAAUGAGAGUGAUGAGCACGGAUUUGAUAAUUGUUUACGUAAAGACUCUACCUACUUGGAAUCAGACUGUGAUGAGCAGCUGCUUAUUACUGUAGCUUUUAGUCAACCUGUCAAGCUUUAUUCUAUGAAACUUCAGGGGCCAGAUAAUGGGCAAGGUCCAAAGUACAUAAAAAUCUUUAUCAACCUUCCUCGAUCUAUGGAUUUUGAAGAAGCAGAAAGAAGUGAACCAACUCAAGCCCUGGAGCUGACACCAGAUGAUAUUAAAGAAGACGGGAUUAUCCAGCUUCGCUAUGUAAAAUUUCAGAAUGUUAACAGUGUAACUUUGUUUGUCCAAUCCAAUCAUGGUGAUGAAGAGACAACAAGAAUUACAUACUUCACGUUUAUUGGAACUCCAGUCCAAGCGACAAAUAUGAAUGACUUCAAGCGACUUAACCUCCCAUUUCUAAAGAACUAAAAAGGCAGAAGAAAUUAAAACAUAAUAAUAAGAUUGAAGUGGUCUUGCACUGCUCCCUUCCUUGCUCCCUGUGCUCAUCUAGCAUCUCUCACCCUUUCCACAGUCUCGGCACUGAUGCAAGAGCUGCCUUCUCUGCACCUUCUACCAUCAGGAACAGUCUUCUCUACCCUCUGACUCAUCAACUCAUCUUUCCCCUCCACUCCCCACUCCAAAUCUUACCUUAAAAACUUCUCUUUACCUUUCAGUCUUGCCAAAUUUCUGUCCCGCUGUUGUCUUGAAUUUGACAUUUUAAAGGCAUACCACGCAGUACUUUUACAAAUUAUUUUCUGUAACUCAGUUUCCAGCCUGUAUUGAAUUUUGUAAAGCUAUUUGAGAUGCAGCUUGUGAAAAGCUCUACCAAGACCUGACUUUUUUUAACCUUAGCGGAGCUUAGUGCCCUUUGUCAUUCAGUAAGCAGUAGGCAAGCCAGAAUGGCUGCAAAGUACUACUCUGUGUUGUCCCUCUUGUGGCGCUGAGCACCUGCUCGGGGAAGACGCAGUGAGGAGUUGAUAAUACACAUGGGCGAGUUGUCAUUGUCUACCUCAGACUGGUAGUUGGCAAAAAAGGAGAGAGCCACUAGGACGCAAAAGACACUGGAAGGCCUUAUCGCAAUCAAAGAGAUCUUCACUUUUAUCUACAACUCCUGGAUAAUUGCUUGACCAUAACCAGAGACUGUCAAUCUGUUUCAUUUAAUGCCAUUACCAAUAAAUCAUUGCUUUUGUUGAGAUGGAGUUUCCUUAGUGUGUUUCUGUUGUAAUCCUCGUACAUGUAUUUGUAAAUAAAAUUCAUUACUUUUGCCAAGUUUAAUUUUGUUAUUCUACUAACUGUGGCUCUUCCUUUGUUGUGUUUAAACUUCAAAACUCGCCUGGCUUAUCUUUAGAAACAGAAGACAUAACGUAGCUUGCAUUUGUUCGGAGAGUUUAAAAUGUCACACGUAAGUAAAACAUAAGACGGCCUUCAGGGGCCAUCUAAAAAUAAAUUCCGAGCUACUUUGUUAGGAGACAGAGUGCACUUAGGAUCAUUGUUCCUGUGAAAUCGGAGAUACCUCUCAGAUAGGAGUAACUUCACCUGUCUUGGAGAUUUCCCUUCUGCCCCUUGAGAAGCUGAGGAGGAGGAAGCAGCAUAUUUUAAGUUACCAUUCCAUUAACUUGCAGAUUUGUCACAAAUGGCAUGCUGAUGCCAGCUCUUUGGCACUGGUAAUUCUUGAGUCUUUUAAAAGUGUGUGGGGGUUUUUUUUUUUAAUAUUAGAAAAUAUUGACCUGGUUCCCCAGGCAGCCUCGAGCAAACUGUGCAGGUAUGGGGGUUCAGAUGUCUGUGCACCCCACCUGAACGUAAAUCACUUAUUUCUUUUAUUGGGUGGUUUUUCCUCUUUCUGGAUCUUGAUAAGGAAAUGUUUAUUGCAAAUACUAAUUUUAUAUCUUAAUUGGAAUUCCUAUACUACUUUUGGUAAAUUUUCUUGGAAGUAUGCCCUAAGUAAUUUUAAUAAAUGGGGCGUUGAUCAGUACCAUAUACGUAUAAUACUGUAUGAAUUCCCAGUAAAACUUGCUAAGUAUUUUAAUUGGCAUAAUUAAUUUCUUUGUAAAGUUAAAUUUGUUACAUUUCUAAUUACCAUAAAUCCCACUAAGGCUUAAAUCCUGUCCUAAUUGGCAUUCCUUCCUUGAACGCGGUAGGGUUGGUACUCUUCUGGCUUGGCAGAUCUGUGGCGAAUACCAAGUUAACUUUCCCUUAGCACAGAUAUUUCCUCCAAACAGAAAGCUGGAGAUUGUCUAGAAAAAGGCACUUUGUGGGUGUUUGGUGGGGUUUUUUUGGCUGUUUUUUGUUUUUGUUUUUUUGUUUUUACUGUACCACUGCCCCCACCAGGAUACUUGCCUACGUGUACUGGAGCUGAGGGCAUGCACUGGUGACUCGGUUCCUUCCAUGCUCCUGUUUGCUUCCCCGGGGCUGUAAGGCACGUAACACUGUAUAUAGAAUAUAAAUCGGUUUUAAAUAUAACUGAGGGCAAUAUGAAUAACUGUUCCUGUUUAUAAUUUUGUACACUAAUUACCUUUUGGUUAUCGUUUUAAGUGCCUCAUCUUAAGUAUUGCUUACCUCAUAAUAUUUAUACCUGAGAGAUUUGAUAACCUAGUGAUUCUCAUCUUUGUAAAAGUUUGGGCAGAUUUCUAUUGUUUAUGAGACUCUUCUGUGAUUUCCUUGGUUGCAUGAUGCAUACCUUCCGUAAUGAUGCUAUGUACAUAGAUCUAAAUAAACGUCUAGAGGUAA